UUUUGUUCUGCUGUUAAAUAGUGAUACUUAAAUAUGGCAAGCAAGUAUUUGGGUAAAAACGUCGUCCAAGGGCUGCAAUUUUUGUCAAAAAUAACUAAACCUCCUCACACUCUUUCCCCUUUAUUCGUUAACCCUUCUCAAUGCUCUUCAGUAAAUUCUGAACUUGAAAGCAGUCCCUUUAUAAAGACCUUGUUGAGUCCUAUCCAAUUUGAAUUAAAAGUCAGGAAUCAGCGCAAUUCAGCAAGAUGAAUCAUGCUGGUGUUAGCCCUCACUUAUGUACACUCGUAGUGAUUAAUUGUUGUUGCAAUUUGGAGGUAGUAGAAUGUGGGUUUUGUGUGUUUGGUGAAAUUAUGAAGACGGGUUUUGAGCCUGAUUUGGUUACUUUUAGAACUUUGGCUAAAGGUAUGUGGCUGGAUGGAAAGGCACUCAAAGUGUUUGAUAAAAUGACUAUAAGUGGGGUUCAAGGGGAUGCUCGCUUUCGUAACGUUCAAUAUGCAAAAUCCACGAAACAAGUUGUGCUGUUGAGUUGCAUAUAUAGGAGGAUGGGGAUUGGGGGAUGGGAACCGUAAGGGUGAUUUAUUCACUUCUCUUUGUAACGAACACAGCAAAUGUUUUAGGAAACGAGCAGUUAAAAUGUCAGAGAAGCUUAUGAGGUCUUUGAUUUGAUGAUCGAGUACGGAAAAGAGCCUACUGAGUUUACCUAUAAUUCUCGGGGCAUCAAGGCAAAUGUUAUAAGCUAUACAAUGAAUUAUUUCAAGAAAUGCAACAUAAAGGAUUGAAGCCAACUGUUUAUAUAAGGAAAUUUCUUAAUCUUGUCAUGUUUAUAUAAGGAAAUUUCUUGUCUGUCUUUUAA
This is a long non-coding RNA of Mercurialis annua (annual mercury), 853 nucleotides long. RefSeq lists it as uncharacterized. The record is from RefSeq and is a predicted model, not a curated record. Lineage: Eukaryota; Viridiplantae; Streptophyta; Magnoliopsida; Malpighiales; Euphorbiaceae. The transcript is spliced from 2 exons.